Non-coding RNA from Nomascus leucogenys (northern white-cheeked gibbon), 1033 nucleotides. The record is from RefSeq and is a predicted model, not a curated record. NCBI's taxonomy places the organism in Eukaryota, Metazoa, Chordata, Mammalia, Primates, Hylobatidae.
UGCUAGGUGGAGGGAAGGAAGGAGGGAGCCGGGGAGUGGGCCAGGGCAGCAGCCGGGCUGAAGUCGGCUUGGGGAGCCAGAGGGAGCGGAGCGGAACCUGCGGGGCGGAGGUGGCGGCCGCAGCGGCACAGCUGAUAGCAGGAACAGGAUUCAAGUCUUUCAUACCAGGGACCAGGCCAAAACCAGACUGCCACUGCCCCUACUUGGGCCCCACUGUCCCCAGAAAGCAGCUGCUGUGAUCAUGGGCAAUAUCUUUGGAAACCUUCUCAAGAGCCUGAUUGGGAAGAAGGAGAUGCGCAUCCUGAUGGUGGGCCUGGAUGCCGCAAGAAAGACCACCAUCCUAUACAAGCUGAAACUGGGGGAGAUCGUCACCACCAUCCCUGCCAUUGGGUUCAAUGUGGAGACAGUGGAGUAUAAGAACAUCAGCUUCACAGUGUGGGAUGUGGGUGGCCAGGACAAGAUUCGACCCCUGUGGGGACACUACUUCCAGAACACCCAAGGGUUGAUAUUUGUGGUCGACAGCAAUGAGCGGGAGCGAGUAAAUGAGGCCCGGGAAGAGCUGAUGAGAAUGCUGGCGGAGGACGAGCUCCGGGAUGCUGCACUCCUUGUCUUUGCAAACAAACAGGAUCUGCCUAAUGCUAUGAACGCUGCUGAGAUCACAGACAAGCUGGGCCUGCAUUCCCUUCGUCACCGUAACUGGUACAUUCAGGCCACCUGUGCCACCAGCGGGGACGGGCUGUACGAAGGCCUGGACUGGCUGGCCAAUCAGCUCAAAAACAAGAAGUGAGAGCCAGACAGCCCUAACCAAGCGCCCCACCCACCCCGACAUACCUACUGUCACCCUGCCCCUGUCCUACCCCUUCCUCUCCAUUGCAAGUGUGGCCAGGGCCCUGGGUAUCAUGUCCGCAUGCCCAGCAAGAGCCUUGCCUCCCCUGCUUCCCCUCGUUUUUCCUGUCCACCUAUAUGACCAAUCCCUAAUUGCUGUCCUGAUGAUGAGUCAUUCCAAUUUACUGGAUUUAAAACAAAAAAAAAA